UACUAGAGUAGCACUCGCAUAUCAAUAAGCGGAGGAAAAGAAACUAACAAGGAUUCCCCUAGUAACGGCGAGUGAAGCGGGGAAGAGCUCAAAUUUGAAAUCUUAAAGGGUUUCCCUUUACGAAUUGUAGUUUAAAGAAGUGUUUUCUGUUGAGGUUUUGGUAAAAGUUCUUUGGGAUAGGACAUCAUAGAGGGUGAGAAUCCCGUAUUUGACCUUUACUUUCAACUUUGUGAUACACUUUCAAAGAGUCGGACUGUUUGGGAAUGCAGUCCAAAAUGGGUGGUCAAAUUUCAUCUAAAGCUAAAUAUUGGCGAUGAGACCGAUAGCGAACAAGUACCGUGAGGGAAAGAUGAAAAGAACUUUGAAAAGAGAGUUAAACAGUACGUGAAAUUGUCAAAAGGGAAGCGUUUGACACCAGUGUUGUUUUUCUGAAAAUCAAUUAAAGAACUGUUUAUGCUAAGUUGUUUAGACUUUAUCAGCUAACUGUUUAGUUUUGAGCUUUUCUUUAAUGCACUUUUCAGUUAACAAGUCAACAUCAAUUUCUUUUGCUGUAAAAAAGCUUGAGGAAGGUGGCUUGAGAUUCGUCUUAAGUGUUUAUAGCCUCUUGCCUAUGCAGUCGGAGAGAUUGAGGUCUGCAGCGUAGAUCCUUCGGGGCUAAAUGCAUUUGUGCUAAGUUAUAGCAUUUUAUAGACAACUUGUUGACUAUGAUUUGUCUUGUAGCUUACUCGCUUAUGUUAUUUUACCUACGCUUAGGAUGUUGAGUAGCGACAUACGCAC
This 777-nucleotide ribosomal RNA is filed under the name uncultured Neocallimastigales. Its description in RNAcentral is "partial large subunit ribosomal RNA". It matches the Rfam family "Eukaryotic large subunit ribosomal RNA", at positions 20 to 649 of the family's 3401-position model. The record is from RNAcentral. Lineage: Eukaryota; Fungi; Neocallimastigomycota; Neocallimastigomycetes; Neocallimastigales.